UUGCCAGACUCCUACGGGAGGCAGCAGUCGGGAAUAUUGCGCAAUGGAGGAAACUCUGACGCAGUGACGCCGCGUAUAGGACGAAGGUCUUCGGAUUGUAAACUAUUGUCGUUAGGGAAGAGAAAGGACAGUACCUAAGGAGGAAGCUCCGGCUAACUACGUGCCAGCAGCCGCGGUAAUACGUAGGGGGCAAGCGUUAUCCGGAAUUACUGGGUGUAAAGGGUGAGUAGGCGGCAUGGUAAGCCAGAUGUGAAAGCCUUGGGCUUAACCCGAGGAUUGCAUUUGGAACUAUCAAGCUAGAGUACAGGAGAGGAAAGCGGAAUUCCUAGUGUAGCGGUGAAAUGCGUAGAUAUUAGGAAGAACACCAGUGGCGAAGGCGGCUUUCUGGACUGAAACUGACGUUGAGGCACGAAAGCGUGGGGAGCGAACAGGAUUAGAUACCCGAGUAA
Molecule: ribosomal RNA, 449 nt
Filed under: uncultured bacterium
Lineage: Bacteria
Description: bacterial SSU rRNA
Rfam family: Bacterial small subunit ribosomal RNA
Source: RNAcentral